UACCUGGUUGAUCCUGCCAGUAGUCAUAUGCUUGUCUCAAAGAUUAAGCCAUGCAUGUCUAAGUAUAAACAAGUUUGUACUGUGAAACUGCGAAUGGCUCAUUAAAUCAGUUAUAGUUUAUUUGAUGAUAUCUUGCUACAUGGAUAACUGUGGUAAUUCUAGAGCUAAUACAUGCAAUCAAAGCCCCGACUUCUGGGAGGGGUGUAUUUAUUAGAUAAAAAACCAACGCGGCUCGCCGCUCGUUUGGUGAUUCAUAAUAACUUCUCGAAUCGCAUGGCCUUGUGCCGGCGAUGCUUCAUUCAAAUAUCUC
This 310-nucleotide non-coding RNA is filed under the name Serpula lacrymans var. lacrymans S7.3. Its description in RNAcentral is "Eukaryotic small subunit ribosomal RNA". It matches the Rfam family "Eukaryotic small subunit ribosomal RNA", at positions 1 to 309 of the family's 1831-position model. Lineage: Eukaryota; Fungi; Basidiomycota; Agaricomycetes; Boletales; Serpulaceae. The record is from Rfam by way of RNAcentral.